This 67-nucleotide transfer RNA is filed under the name Choroedocus violaceipes. Its description in RNAcentral is "tRNA-Tyr". Lineage: Eukaryota; Metazoa; Arthropoda; Insecta; Orthoptera; Acrididae. The record is from RNAcentral.
GGUAGGAUGGCUGAACUAUAGGCGGUAGACUGUAAAUCUACUUAUGAGAAAAAUUUCUCCCCUACCA